GUGCAGAAGAGGAGAGUGGAAUUCCAUGUGUAGCGGUGAAAUGCGUAGAUAUAUGGAGGAACACCAGUGGCGAAGGCGGCUCUCUGGUCUGUAACUGACGCUGAGGCUCGAAAGCGUGGGGAGCGAACAGGAUUAGAUACCCUGGUAGUCCACGCCGUAAACGAUGAGUGCUAAGUGUUGGAGGGUUUCCGCCCUUCAGUGCUGCAGCAAACGCAUUAAGCACUCCGCCUGGGGAGUACGACCGCAAGGUUGAAACUCAAAGGAAUUGACGGGGGCCCGCACAAGCGGUGGAGCAUGUGGUUUAAUUCGAAGCAACGCGAAGAACCUUACCAGGUCUUGACAUCCUUUGACCACUCUAGAGAUAGAGCUUCCCCUUCGGGGGCAAAGUGACAGGUGGUGCAUGGUUGUCGUCAGCUCGUGUCGUGAGAUGUUGGGUUAAGUCCCGCAACGAGCGCAACCCUUAUUGUUAGUUGCCAUCAUUUAGUUGGGCACUCUAGCGAGACUGCCGGUGACAAACCGGAGGAAGGUGGGGAUGACGUCAAAUCAUCAUGCCCCUUAUGACCUGGGCUACACACGUGCUACAAUGGGAAGUACAACGAGUUGCGAAGUCGCGAGGCUAAGCUAAUCUCUUAAAGCUUCUCUCAGUUCGGAUUGUAGGCUGCAACUCGCCUACAUGAAGCCGGAAUCGCUAGUAAUCGCGGAUCAGCACGCCGCGGUGAAUACGUUCCCGGGCCUUGCACACAC
Molecule: ribosomal RNA, 744 nt
Filed under: uncultured bacterium
Lineage: Bacteria
Description: bacterial SSU rRNA
Rfam family: Bacterial small subunit ribosomal RNA
Source: RNAcentral